RNAcentral lists this ribosomal RNA (468 nucleotides) under uncultured bacterium. Its description in RNAcentral is "partial 16S ribosomal RNA". It matches the Rfam family "Bacterial small subunit ribosomal RNA", at positions 28 to 507 of the family's 1533-position model. The record is from RNAcentral.
GACGAACGCUGGCGGCGUGCUUAACACAUGCAAGUCGAACGGAAAGGCCCUGCUUUUGUGGGGUGCUCGAGUGGCGAACGGGUGAGUAACAUGUGAGUAACCUGCCCUUGACUUUGGGAUAACUUCAGGAAACUGGGGCUAAUACCGGAUAGGAGCUCCUGCUGCAUGGUGGGGGUUGGAAAGUUUCGGCGGUUGGGGAUGGACUCGCGGCUUAUCAGCUUGUUGGUGGGGUAGUGGCUUACCAAGGCUUUGACGGGUAGCCGGCCUGAGAGGGUGACCGGCCACAUUGGGACUGAGAUACGGCCCAGACGCCUACGGGAGGCAGCAGUGGGGAAUAUUGCACAAUGGGCGGAAGCCUGAGGCAGCAACGCCGCGUGCGGGAUGACGGCCUUCGGGUUGUAAACCGCUUUCGCCUGUGACGAAGCGUGAGUGACGGUAAUGGGUAAAGAAGCACCGGCUAACUACGUG